CUACGGGUCGCUGCAGUGAGGAAUUUUGCGCAAUGGGGGAAACCCUGACGCAGCAACGCCGCGUGAGCGAAGAAGGCCUUCGGGUCGUAAAGCUCUGUCAAGUGGGAAAAAAAUUCUUUGAUGAACAGUCAAAGGACUUGAUGGUACCACUGGAGGAAGCACCGGCUAACUCCGUGCCAGCAGCCGCGGUAAUACGGAGGGUGCAAGCGUUGUUCGGAAUUACUGGGCGUAAAGAGCGUGUAGGCGGUUUGACAAGUCAGAUGUGAAAGCCCCGGGCUCAACCCGGGAAGUGCAUUUGAAACUGUUUCACUAGGGUAUGGGAGAGGAGAUUGGAAUUCCUGGUGUAGAGGUGAAAUUCGUAGAUAUCAGGAGGAACACCCGUGGCGAAGGCGAUUCUCUGGACCAAUACUGACGCUGAGACGCGAAAGCGUGGGGAGCAAACAGGAUUAGAUACCCCCGUAGUC
RNAcentral lists this ribosomal RNA (464 nucleotides) under uncultured bacterium. RNAcentral describes it as "partial 16S ribosomal RNA". It matches the Rfam family "Bacterial small subunit ribosomal RNA", at positions 339 to 795 of the family's 1533-position model. The record is from RNAcentral.